UGCGUAGGCGGUUAUAUAAGUUAAGUGUGAAAGUCCCGGGCUUAACCUGGGGAAGUCACUUAAAACUGUAUGACUGGAGUAUGGGAGAGGGUAGUGGAAUUUCCGGUGUAGCGGUGAAAUGCGUAGAGAUCGGAAGGAACACCAGUGGCGAAGGCGGCUACCUGGCCCAAUACUGACGCUGAAGCACGAAAGCGUGGGGAGCAAACA
This 207-nucleotide ribosomal RNA is filed under the name uncultured bacterium. RNAcentral's name for it is "partial 16S ribosomal RNA". It matches the Rfam family "Bacterial small subunit ribosomal RNA", at positions 568 to 774 of the family's 1533-position model. The record is from RNAcentral.